AUACGGCCCCAGAAUGCCUUAUAGCACCCCAGGAUGCUUUAUAGGGCCCCAGGAUGCUUUAUAGGGCCCUGGGACCCCCUAUAGGGCCCCACGAUGCUUUAUAGGGCCCCACGAUGCCUUAUAGGACCCCACAAUGCUUUAUAGGGCCCUGGGACUCCCUAUAGGGCCCCAGGAUGCUUUAUAGAGCCCCAGGAUGCCUUAUAGGGCCCUGGGACCCCCUAUUGGGCCCCAGGAUGCCUUAUAGGGCCCCACGAUGCUUUAUAGGGCCCCAGGAUGCUUUAUAGGGCCCUGGGACCCCCUAUAGGGCCCCACGAUGCCAUAUAGGGCCCCAGAACACUCUAAAAUGGUCCUGAGAUGACCUAUAGGGCCCUGGGAUGCCCCAUAUGGUCCCUGUGACACCCUGUAAGGCUCCAGGACACUCUAAAAGGGCCCCGGGAUGCCCUAUAAGACCCCAGCACACUCCAUAUGGUCCCUGGGAUGCCUUAUAGGGCCCCAGGAUGCCCUAUAUGGUCCCUGGGACACCCUAUAGGGCCCCAGAGCGCUCCAUAUGGUGCCUGGGAUGCCCUAUGGGGACACUGACCACCCUCAGGAUGUCCUAUA
RNAcentral lists this long non-coding RNA (600 nucleotides) under Anser brachyrhynchus (Pink-footed goose). RNAcentral describes it as "lncRNA (ENSABRG00000023084.1)". The record is from RNAcentral. Lineage: Eukaryota; Metazoa; Chordata; Aves; Anseriformes; Anatidae.